RNAcentral lists this ribosomal RNA (628 nucleotides) under Theileria annulata. Its description in RNAcentral is "SSU rRNA". It matches the Rfam family "Eukaryotic small subunit ribosomal RNA", at positions 462 to 1129 of the family's 1831-position model. The record is from RNAcentral. Lineage: Eukaryota; Apicomplexa; Aconoidasida; Piroplasmida; Theileriidae.
AGGUAGUGACAAGAAAUAACAAUACGGGGCUUAAAGUCUUGUAAUUGGAAUGAUGGGAAUUUAAACCUCUUCCAGAGUAUCAAUUGGAGGGCAAGUCUGGUGCCAGCAGCCGCGGUAAUUCCAGCUCCAAUAGCGUAUAUUAAAAUUGUUGCAGUUAAAAAGCUCGUAGUUGAAUUUCUGCUGCAUUGCUUGUGUCCCUCUGGGGUCUGUGCAUGUGGCUUUUUUCGGACGGAGUUUCUUUGUCUGAAUGUUUACUUUGAGAAAAUUAGAGUGCUCAAAGCAGGCUUUCGCCUUGAAUAGUUUAGCAUGGAAUAAUAAAGUAGGACUUUGGUUCUAUUUUGUUGGUUUUAGGUACCAAAGUAAUGGUUAAUAGGAACAGUUGGGGGCAUUCGUAUUUAACUGUCAGAGGUGAAAUUCUUAGAUUUGUUAAAGACGAACUACUGCGAAAGCAUUUGCCAAGGAUGUUUUCAUUAAUCAAGAACGAAAGUUAGGGGAUCGAAGACGAUCAGAUACCGUCGUAGUCCUAACCAUAAACUAUGCCGACUAGAGAUUGGAGGUCGUCAGUUUUUACGACUCCUUCAGCACCUUGAGAGAAAUCAAAGUCUUUGGGUUCUGGGGGGAGUAUGGU